RNAcentral lists this ribosomal RNA (460 nucleotides) under uncultured bacterium. RNAcentral describes it as "partial 16S ribosomal RNA". It matches the Rfam family "Bacterial small subunit ribosomal RNA", at positions 338 to 795 of the family's 1533-position model. The record is from RNAcentral.
CCUACGGGUGGCAGCAGUGAGGAAUAUUGGUCAAUGGGCGCGAGCCUGAACCAGCCAAGUCGCGUGAGGGAUGACGGUCCUACGGAUUGUAAACCUCUUUUGCCGGGGAGCAAGCGUGCGUUCGUGAACGCACGUCGAGAGUACCCGGAGAAAAAGCAUCGGCUAACUCCGUGCCAGCAGCCGCGGUAAUACGGAGGAUGCGAGCGUUAUCCGGAUUUAUUGGGUUUAAAGGGUGCGUAGGCGGGCUGUUAAGUCAGCGGUAAAAGCCCGGGGCUCAACCCCGGCGAGCCGUUGAAACUGGCUGUCUUGAGAUGUCGAGAGGUAUGCGGAAUGCGCAGUGUAGCGGUGAAAUGCUUAGAUAUUGCGCAGAACUCCGAUUGCGAAGGCAGCAUACCGGCGGCGAUCUGACGCUGAGGCACGAAAGCGUGGGUAUCGAACAGGAUUAGAUACCCCUGUAGUC